RNAcentral lists this ribosomal RNA (253 nucleotides) under uncultured bacterium. RNAcentral's name for it is "partial 16S ribosomal RNA". It matches the Rfam family "Bacterial small subunit ribosomal RNA", at positions 524 to 776 of the family's 1533-position model. The record is from RNAcentral.
UACGUAGGGGGCUAGCGUUGUCCGGAAUCAUUGGGCGUAAAGAGCGUGUAGGCGGUCCGGUAAGUCCGCUGUGAAAGUCGGGGGCUCAACCCUCGAAUGCCGGUGGAUACUGGCGAGCUGGAGUGAUGCAGAGGUUUGUGGAAUUCCUGGUGUAACGGUGAAAUAUGUUGAUAUCAGGAGGAACACCCAUGGCGAAGGCAGCAAACUGGGCAUCAACUGACGCUGAGGCGCGAAAGCGUGGGUAGCAAACAGG